AGACAGGCAAGAGCGACACACACACUGAAAGAGGGGACAAAGCCCGCCUUCCAUGUAAGUGCUUCCAAAUUACAAGGACAUUAUCUGUUUAAAAUAUAGGAAAGGCUUAGCACAUGUCUGCUGUAAAAUACAAACAAAUUGACCCUUUGCCUCUGACAGAACUGGCCCCCUAUCAAAAGUACUUAAACCUGUAAUUCUGUAAGGAGCUGCUUUGAGGGGGGAGGAAGGGGGAAGAAGUCUACGGAAAGAAAAAUCACAGCAUUCCAGAAAAAUGAAACAAAAGAGCAUUCUUGUAUGUGUGCGUGCAUGCGUGUGUUGGGGAGGGGGUGUGUUUUAUUUUGUUUGGCAUUUAUAUUCCAAACAGCUUUAAGAAACAGUGUUUUGGAAAUGAAUGCACGACGUUUGAGCUCAAACUUCAUUUUUGGACAUAAUUACUUUGCUUCUUUUUCCCUCUCCCUUGGCUGUUUGGUAUAUAUUGAUUUAAUUACUCACCUUCCCAUCUGUUUCCUUUCUGCUUUGCACCUCCACCCUGGGACCCUUUCACUGCGCCUGUCUGGAGGAGGGAUGCUAAGAAAGAGACAGCUGGGCCUGGGCAGGCACAGGCCCCAGACAUCCACACGGGAGGAGCCUGCCUUGCUGAGCUGUUUUCCCGGGAUCGCCCUUCGUUUAUGG
RNAcentral lists this long non-coding RNA (672 nucleotides) under Capra hircus (goat). RNAcentral describes it as "lncRNA (ENSCHIG00000007064.1)". The record is from RNAcentral. Lineage: Eukaryota; Metazoa; Chordata; Mammalia; Artiodactyla; Bovidae.